UAUGAUUCAUGAAUUAGGUAUUUAGAUAUUUUUUACAACUUGACAUUUUCAGAAAAUUAUACCCGACGAUGAGUUUGAAGAAAAUGAACAGACAGAAAAGGAUUUGGAAACGUUACAGUUGAUGAUUUUAAUUAAAUAAAACUGAAUAGGUAAUGUCUAAUACACACACACACACUUAUUUCAUUCAGUUUCAAAACUGAAAUUUAUGAUAUACAUACAAGUAACUAGGAAUUUGAGCCAAUGUAUUGACAAUUUUCAGACGUUGAAUUUCUUGAAGAUUAUUCUGGCGGCUCUGAUGUAGCAAUACAAUAUUGGAGUGAAUUGUGAAACUUAAAGAGAAUAUUAGUUUACACACAUUUUUGGAUUCAAAGCCACUAUCCAGCUGUUAUCACACAUAUAAUUUGUGAAGUCGAGACUAUUGUACAAGAUUUUUUGCCAAACAAUUCACCUGUCAGAAUGUUUGGCAUGAGCUGUGAAAAGAUAUAUAUAUAUAUAUAUUGAUGAUGUUGCUGAUAGGCUGUUAAAA
Long non-coding RNA from Metopolophium dirhodum (rose-grain aphid), 526 nucleotides. RefSeq lists it as uncharacterized. NCBI's taxonomy places the organism in Eukaryota, Metazoa, Arthropoda, Insecta, Hemiptera, Aphididae. The transcript is spliced from 3 exons. The record is from RefSeq and is a predicted model, not a curated record.